RNAcentral lists this unclassified non-coding RNA (392 nucleotides) under Zea mays. RNAcentral describes it as "misc RNA Zm00001eb178530". The record is from RNAcentral. Lineage: Eukaryota; Viridiplantae; Streptophyta; Magnoliopsida; Poales; Poaceae.
GGGCGGGCUCUCGACAGCAACCGGUGGCACACUGGAACAUGGCACCGGCGGUGGGGUCGACGGGACGCGAUCGAGUAGCUCGUCGGGGGCUGAAACGGCCCGACAGCUCUGGUGUCGAUGGACAGGACGGUGACGGCGGCCUUGUGCAGGCAGCAGACAGGCACGGGGCGUAUGCAGAGCAGCAGGGGAAGCAAGGAGCUCGGCGGGCAGUAUUUAUAGAAUCAGGAACCGAAAUCGCCAUCAAUGGCGAGCGUUAUCUGCACGAAGAGAAAUUGCCACGUGGGAGUGGAAGAAGGGAAAGACACGACAGUUUCCGGAUGCGAGAGGGCGGGGAUGUGAGGAGGCCAGACCAGAGUCCACAUCGGGAGAUGAGGUGGCGGUACUGCGUGGAG